This 572-nucleotide long non-coding RNA is filed under the name Bos taurus (domestic cattle). RNAcentral's name for it is "long non-coding RNA NONBTAT017381". Lineage: Eukaryota; Metazoa; Chordata; Mammalia; Artiodactyla; Bovidae. The record is from RNAcentral.
UACAAUUAUGAGAGAUCAGAUCUAAGUCAACGGUAUAUACUUGGGACUACAAGUGAGUACAGAUGAGGUACCUAGCCCCAGAAAGGGAGUCAGGGGAAUGUUCUUUUUGGAGACAACACCUUAGUGUGUCAUAUGAAGAAAAGAAGUGAGCGGAGGGCUAUGUACUCAGAGACAAGAGGGCAUGAAACUGCAAGGGGACUGAUGUGGGUGAUUGUCAGAAAGUCACAUAGAUUAAAAGUCCUUCCUUCAUUGUUCAGUUGUUACUCAUUCGAAGGUCGUCCUCACAUACAGACAUCCACCUCCCCAUCUAACCACCGCUCCCACCUCAUCCACAGCUGAAUGGAAACCACAUGUCAACAGUGAUGUUUAGCUGGGAUUGGGCACCGCUUCUGGUUGGCAGGACACCAAAGGAGCAGGAGCUGAGUUAGAGUGGAGGCUUGUUUCCCUCUGCUUAUACGGCCCAGGUAUUCGCGCAGGGUAAGUCGCUACCGGGUCAGUGCCCCGGUCUUUUCCCCUCUUGUUGAUCCUCAAGAGGCCUCCAUCUUAGGUCAAAACGGCAAGAAAAGGCGCGC